This 139-nucleotide small nucleolar RNA is filed under the name Drosophila erecta. RNAcentral's name for it is "snoRNA:GG26071". The record is from RNAcentral. Lineage: Eukaryota; Metazoa; Arthropoda; Insecta; Diptera; Drosophilidae.
GUUGCAUAUCAUUAGAGCUGAUUAUAAAGUUUUAAAAUGUAAUCGGUGUCAAGAAUAUGCAAUAUCAAUUGACACAUUUACUUGUCUUUGGUUUGUUCUAAUCACUAACGUUCUGAAGAUUUCUUAUGUGUCGACAACU